Non-coding RNA from Callorhinus ursinus (northern fur seal), 5221 nucleotides. Lineage: Eukaryota; Metazoa; Chordata; Mammalia; Carnivora; Otariidae. The record is from RefSeq and is a predicted model, not a curated record.
GAGAGCACGAGAGGGAAGAGGGUCCGAGGGAGAAGCAGACUCCCUGCUGGCCUAGACAUCAGCCUUAAAGUGAAAGGUUAAAAUCGUCUGAUUUUUGUGAGCAUAUGUCUUCCCUGGGUAUGCAUGUGGCUUUCUAGAUUCCCCUAUACAAACACUGCUUUUGAAUCUCCUGAUUUCCCAAAGUCUUACCCCACUUUCUCCUCCAGCCCUUAGAUGGUAUACUGUAUGCCUCCAGUGAGAAUCUAUUGCCCGGGGUGUCCAUGCGUGUGUAUUCUCUGGUUGCUUUUAUGAGCGAAGCCUGUAGCUUUUCCUACCUGUGUCUCGAAUUAUGUGAGAAAGAGAGAGCAAGCGAGUUCUUCAGGUAUCCCCAGCCAGGUUAGAACAGAGGUACACAAUAAUCUGCAAAUAAGAUCUGCUCUCUCCAUUUUAAAGAGUGGAACUGGGGACCGAGUUGCCACCACUUGUGUCUAAGAUGGUUGCCAUUUGGACAAGGGUUUUUUGAGGGUUUUUUCCCCACGAUUAUAUGGAGGAACAUGAGCUUGGAGCUUCCUAGUCCAACAUCUUUCAGAUGUCCCACCACUAUUAUUUUAUGUGGAUUUACUGCAUACCAAAACUGCACUGAGCUGGUUAUUUUCUCUUUGCCCUCCAGAUAUACUCUCCACCCUUCUCUGUCCUAGUCUGUGUCCGGCAGGCUGAUCUGCACAAACCACAUCAAUGGGUUCUCAGCCCCAGUGGGAGGAGACGGAGGCUGUGAAUUUAAUUCCCUUCCUGCCGUGGACACAAUUUGGCCACAUCUUUCCAUCAAAUAUCACAGCUCUCCUCCAGUGACCCUCUCCCUACGGCUACCCACCCUGAGAUCUGGACCCGGCACAUGUCCCUUCAGACCCGGGGGUAAGGAAGAGCUUUCCAAUCACCAUCACCUUCUGCUGUUUUAGCCCCAAGAUCCUUCAGCGCCCUUUGCACGCAUCCCCAGAUCUUUCCGCACCUUUGUAACUCACCUUUUUAUUACCAUCCCUCUCUUACUCAGCCUGAGAGUGCCAUCUGUUUCCUGCUGGAAGUCUGAGUGACACACUGUGCUCUUGGCGGCUAUUUCUGUUUCAGAGAAGUGCUUCUGAGGUUGGAGUAAUGCGCUCAGAUACCAGUAGAUUCUGGAGGGUACUUUGGGUCAAAAGAUAAGAAUUCACUUUCCUGAACAACUUUGUAAUAUUUAUGAGAACGAUACUCUGCUUGGGGUUCAGAAAAUGUGUCUUAUUAAACACACAGCCUCGGUCCUAUAAUCCGAAAUGCAGACAAAUUUAUGGUUCAGUUCCUGCAAGGCAAGUGAAUGACAAGAAGACUGCCCUCCCUUUGUGGGUGGGCAAAGCAGAGCAGCACCCUGCCGUCACGGGAAGCCUGUCCCAGGAGUGGCAUCAUCCUGCCUUCCCGAAAACUGAGAAGACAAGUGCCCAGGGGAAACUGCAGAGGGAGAUAUCUAUUGUCUCCUGUGUCUAGAAAAGAGCUACCCAUGAGGUGAGAUCAAAUACACGAACUGCUCCUUCUCUAAUGCGUUCUCCUCACUGUCGAAAGGCCUUUCUUAAGCACAGACCCGAUGAGGAGGCCAUUUACUCUGCCAGAAACCUCUAGGGGGCUCUUUGACCGGGACAAAGAAUGACAAAUACUCAGCAUGUGGGUGGGCACUCCCACUCCUGGCUCCCAGGGCACACUUGUCCAAUAAAGCUGCUUUCAGCCGGGGAAACUUUCCAUCGUGGCUCUCCAGGUAGCCAAUACUUAUGUUGCUUUUCAUUUCAGGUCAACGUUAUUUCCCAACCUCGUCCCUUAAGGUAAAAUAUAUUCUGAAUUCAGAAGCACAGCACUGCACAAUGUGGUCCCAAUCUUCCAUCCCAGCACCUGAGCAUUUUUCCUCUUACUCUUUUGUGCCAAAUUGUUAGCUUUAUUCGCACUGUUCACAGCAUAUAUUGGGCAUUUGAACUAUCUGUUAGACUAAUACUGAUACGGUCCUAUGAACUGAAGUUUGCUUUAAACACAAGCACAUACACACAGAACUUGAAUCUGAGCCAAAUAUGUUUAGACUAUUGCAGUAGCCCCAGAUAAUAUUUGUGUAUUAGUUUGGAGCAUUUGCCCAUACACUUAUUUUUAUAUAUUUAAAGGGUACAAAAGGCUUAUUAGAUGAAAACUUGGGAAAUAUAUUCCUUAUGGAGCAAAAGCAACAUGUUCAAGCCCAGUGUGUUUUUAACUGACUCUUUCAGGCAGGUGGCCUCAUGACCUCGGCCUCCUCCAGGGAGAGUGGUCAAUGCAUUCCCGUGUGAGGUUGAAUCUUUUCUUCAUUGUACUUCAGCUGUCCGCAAAUAACAAAUUCCUGCUGUUCUCCCAAGUUGUCUCGAUUUUACCUCUCCCCGGAAAAGCCGAUGACAUCAUUUAUCUGCUGACUUAUUUUAGGUGUGAGCUUAUUUAACACUAAUCUACUGAAUUCACAUUAGAAUUUCAGCUUCAGUUUCUUAAGCAGAGGAGGAAAACAAAAACAGGAUCUUUACGAUUAGAGUUAAAUUUUAAAAAUGUGCUUAGAGAAAAGAAUUUGAUUCUAAAUAUAGACAACUAUACACAACUGCUUGUCACUGCAUUGGAGUUCACGGCCGGUUGAGAUUCAGAUGAUGUUCAUUCUACCAAUAUUCACUGAGAGACUGCUCUAUCUCGGGACCAGUCUGAACACUGGGGAAGAGUGAAGGUCUGAGGAGGCCACUGCCCACCCUCCCAGAGCACAGAGGCUUGUGGGGGACAGAAGACAUGCCCACAAAUUCUUGUCACCCAGUUUAAUUUUAAACUUCACUCUUCAGAUAAUAUUUUCAAGCUACCCUUUAGUGAGCACUUACUGUGGGGUAGGCAAUCAUUAUUUCACCUAUAUUAUGUCUUUUAAUUCUCAUGGCAGUUUCUAUACAGUAGGGUAUUAUUCUUUCUACUUCAGAGAUGAGAAAAACAAAGCUCAUAAAGUAUGGGUAAUGCAAGGUUCAAUUAGCUAGUAAGCCCAUGCUCACCAGGAGCCAGAAAUUAAUUAAUGCAGCUAUACUUUUAGACAAGCUUUGAAAACAUCGAAACGUAGUAACACAGCCAAGGUUACAAAUAAUCCUAAAACCGAAUUGUCAGCUCCUGGAUAAUUCAAGAUAAUCCAAAUAUGUGGUAGUUGGUAGUUGACGACCCGAAAGAUAUUUUUUGUUCAGAGUUAAUUUCUUUACCGGAAUCUUUUUUAAACAAAUAAACCCACUGGAAAAUAUUUUCAAAAUCUUUUUUCUUCCAAGGCAGCAAAAAUAAAUUUAGACAAAGCAAAAAAUAAUUGUCAAUUUUGAUCUCAGCAGAUUUAUCUUCAUAAAUAACCCAGGGUGGUAUGUGGAUGUGUGGCUCAAAGUGAUAAGAUUAUAAAAUAUCAACUAGAAACAGUCACAAUAGUGGAGUGUGGGAGUGCAGAUUUUUUAGAUUUGGCAUAUUUGGAAUAGCUUUAUUAUUAUUAUUAUUAUUGUUUUAGCACAUUUUGAAAGUAGAAACAGAGGCUUAGGAUGGGAUAAUACCGUUGCUACGAGGGGCUUUGGUUUCUCUGCCAUCCAAUAGCUUGCAUUUAGAAAUUGCAGUUUGAAGGAACAUGCCUCUCUUUCAGUGAACCUUCUCUAAGGGCCACAGAAUAGGUGUUGUUGAGAUCCUGAGAGCAGCCUUCAUAUUGAGGGACCGGGGUUAGCUGUGGAGUGACACGGAUCUUGAACCUUAGACCCAACCUCGUUUGCACAGAGGCCAGAAAUGAGAAGUAGAGUCAAGAGAAACUGGUGAACAAAACCUGACCUUCCUUCCAGCCGCUCCCUGCAGAAAUGCCCUGCACAAAUGCAAAAAAGCAGAGUGGCGUUCAGCUGGAAGAUGGCUCGAGAAUGUCAUGAUCAAAAUUUCCUCUCUCCGGGACCUGGCUAUUGAGGUGGAAGCCUUGGGCCGGGAGGCACUGCAGAAUCUUCAAGGACAAACAAAAAAUGGAGGACCUUGACUUGCCCACAUUAAAGUCAGUCAGCAGCAACUGGAGAUUCGAGUCCAGGGCUCCAGACCCACCAGAAAGGGCCAAUCUCUCUAUUUCCUAGCCUUGAAGGAUUUACCUGGAAAGUUAAGAAAGUCUCAUUUCCUGGAAUUGAAGCCCUUUCAGACAUCCUGCCUCCACUGCGCUGCCUCGUGGGCGGAAGGUUCUCACCGCCGCCGUCACGGGGGUCCGCCUUCAAUCCGAGUGCUCAGCAGGUGUUUCCAAACCCCCAGGAGGACUGUGCCCUGUGCUCUAGGCAGAUUCCUCCCCUCCUCCCUCCCUUCUCUCCUCUCUCUUCCCGUUUUCUCCUUUCUCCCCUCCUGCCAGUAUAUUUAUUGCCGGAUCCCUGACACUGAGAAUUUGUUCCUGAUCUGGGGUUAGGCUGAGCUCUUAGGUUUGAAGAUGCCAGCGACCAGUGUUGAAAGCACCUUGAGGGAGGAGAGCAUUUACGGGGUGUGUUGAAGAAAGGCACUCAGCCGAUUGGAAAGGCUGAAAUGGUUUGGACUUAUCGAAGCCGACCGGCGUAGCGGAGGGGCAAACGGCGAAGCUCCGGCAGAGUCGAUGCGCAAAGAGCAGGAGGGCAAAGCUCAAGCGGCAACGCGUAUCUAAUAUGAUGGUGGAGCGCCUCCUCCGGUUCCUCCUGCCCUGUGAUGGCCACAAGGGGAGCCGAGAGAAAAGUGGAAAAAAUGCUCUGGGGAGGCAUGCGGAGGCAGCUACCACACUGGAGCCGCUGACCCAGACACUCCGCAUGAGUUCUGCGGCGAUUUCCAGGCGGGGCGGCUGGGAAACAGGCUCAGAGGGUUAGUGGUUUCCCAGGAAGGGAUGCACUUCUUGCGAUGAAUCACCCUGUGUCAAGGAGGAUUUUUAUGACAUCAGCUUCCAAGCAGAUCACCGAGACUCCACCACUCAAGAGGGCACUGGAGCUUAACACCACAGGAGCCCACACUUGAUGUUUUCUUUCUUGUCUUUUCCAAGGGGACAUUUGGACCAAAAGUGGCCUGUGGCCCCUGGAAACUCUGAGUAGUGGCUUGGCAUCCUAGGAAUCCGUCUGUUGUGCUUUGUGGAAGAGCCUGGAAAGGUCUAGUUUUGUCUGGAAAACAAAACUCAUGGUUGUUACUGUGAAAGUGUAACCCCGCUUACCCCCUUCUAAUAAAUGCUGCAAUCUCGAAAUAACAUGAA